This 468-nucleotide ribosomal RNA is filed under the name uncultured bacterium. RNAcentral's name for it is "partial 16S ribosomal RNA". It matches the Rfam family "Bacterial small subunit ribosomal RNA", at positions 28 to 507 of the family's 1533-position model. The record is from RNAcentral.
GACGAACGCUGGCGGCGUGCUUAACACAUGCAAGUCGAACGGAAAGGCCCUGCUUUUGUGGGGUGCUCGAGUGGCGAACGGGUGAGUAACACGUGAGUAACCUGCCCUUUACUUUGGGAUAACUUCAGGAAACUUGGGCUAAUACCGGAUAGGAUCUCCUGCUGCAUGGUGGGGGUUGGAUAGUUUCGGCGGUUGGUGAUGUACUCGCGGCUUAUCAGCUUGUUGGUGGGGUAGUGGCUUACCAAGGCUUUGACGGGUAGCCGUCCUGGGAGGGUGACCGGCCAAAUUGGGACUGAGAUACGGAACAGAAUACAACGGGAGGGAACAGAGGGGAAGAUUGCAGAAUGGGAGGAAGGAUGAUGAAGAAAAGCAGCGAGCGGGAAGAAGGCCAGGGGGUAGUAAAGAGAAUUAGACUGAGACGAAGCGUGAGUGACGGUAAUGGGUAAAGAAGCACCGGCUAACUACGUG